AAAUCCCUUGGCCAAUAGCUGUUCAGGCCCUCCCUCAACACAUGAACUCCGUUUUAUUCUAUAUCCUUCACAACACUGGGAGUGGGAACAAACUUCAUACGCUGAAGAAAAGAUGCUGUUUCUUCUUCAGGAGAAAUGUAACGACAGCAGAGACAGAUAGCAGCUUGCUGUGGACAUGUUUUUAUUGUCGCUGUGUGUCGUGGACGCGCUCUCUGAGAAUUUUAUCUUUUGGCAGUACACAUGUGAAAAUGAAAGAAAACGUUAUGGGUGGUUGAACGGAUGGUUUAAACCACUGUUGUCAUGGUGAUUCAUUGCAGAUGAAGCCUUUUGUGAGAUGAUCAGAAUGAAGUCCACACGGAACUUCAUCAUUUUCCUGUGUCCCACGCUGGUGCUGUUUUUUCUCUACUAUUCUUCUGGAAGACUACACCUGAGAACUUCAGUCCAAAAGUCUCAACCUGAUUUGGAUUCAUUACUUUCCACGGGACGUGUAUUAGCUUCAGAGUACGACAAGCAGGGAUUCCUUACGAAGCUUGACGGAAAACUACCCCUGGAGCUCCAGUAUAAAUAUGCUAAUCUCAGUAAAGGCGAGUGUAAACCAGGUUACGCACAGGCCAAGAUGACCUCAAUUUAUCCAAAGUUUUCGAAACCAGCCCCCAUGUUCCUCGAUUCAAAUUUUAAGCGGCUGUCAAAGAUCAGCAAUUAUCCACCUCCCUUCGGGGUAAAAACACAAGAAAAGAUCAUUGAUAUUAUUUUGGCAACUACGAAGAGCUAUUCUCUGGGUCCAGAACUGGACAGUUUGAGUUGUAUGAAGUGUAUUAUUAUUGGUAACGGAGGAAUUCUUUUCAAUAAGUCCCUGGGCUCCAAAAUCGAUGAAUAUGAUGUUGUUAUACGACUAAAUGAGGGUCCAGUCAGGGGGUUCGAGAAAGAUGUGGGCUCUAAGACGACAAUGCGUAUCACCUACCCUGAAGGAGCCAUCCAGAAACCUGAGCGUUACGAGAAGGACUCGCUUUUCGUCUUCUCCGCCUUCAAAGCAGUGGACUUUAAAUGGCUCCGUCAAAUUGUGGUUAAGGAGAAGCUGCGUAGAAUGGAGGGAUUCUGGAAGUCUGUGGCACGUGUCGUUCCCAGAGAAGCCGAGCAUAUGCGCAUCCUAAACCCGUAUUUCAUCCAAGAAGCAGCUUUCAAAUUCAUCGGCCUUCCGCACAACAACGGCCUCAUGGGACGAGGGAAUAUUCCUACGUUGGGGACCGUUGCGAUCACGAUGGCCCUUCAUAGCUGUGAUGAGGUGGCUGUUGCUGGAUUUGGGUAUGACAUGAAUACACCCAGAGCUCCUCUACACUAUUAUGAGAAGCUCAUGAUGUCAGCAAUCAAAGAGUCAUGGACACAUAACAUAUCCAAAGAAAAGGAAUUUCUUCGGAAGCUGGUAAAGGGCGGAGUCAUUCGGGACCUAACCAAUGGAAUCUGACAUCCUCACCCGGCAGACUCCGCAGAGAUGUUUGAGCCAAUCACGUGAUACCGCUAGAAGAAAGCGACCUCACUGUAUAUGCUUACAGUAUCCAUGGCAACCACACCUCAGACUCUGUAGUGCUUUUUUUAAGUCGCAGGAGUGAACGAGUCCAUCCUCGCGGAGAGCAGCGACACAACGUCCAGUGUGAACUGCUGACCUGCUGCUUUCCCCUGUUUUUUACUCAACAGCAGAGACAUGAACUGUGUUUGUAUUUGUCCUCAGUAUUUAUUAGACAGGAUUUUAAUCCGUCAUUAAGAAGCUUUAUUUUUUAAGCCACGUGAACUUUGAUGCUUUAAUACUUUUGUCUUCGAUCUCAGGCUAUGCACAACAGCACCGAACAAAUGAUUGUCCCCCAUGACUUUCCGCUGUUCUUUCUGAACAAAUCUGUGCCGUUAACUGGAUCAACACACACUUUUCCUGCACUUCGCACAUGUAUAUCCCUGUCUGUGUGUUACCUGAGACCAGGUCUAUUAAAGUAUUAUUAUGACGAUAUGUACAGUCUUUAGUCCGAAGUUUUUCUAAUUUGAAUCGUAGAUUGACGCGUUCUAGCAAAAAACGUAUUGAUAUGCUUUAAUGGAGCUGUAAUGGGUGCCAUGUACAGUACGGCUGUCACGAUGCCAUAGUUUGUUUAUAUCAUUAGCAUCAUAUCAUUAGGGUUAAAACUGGUGCAAAGUUUUAAAAUAUUCAUUCAGGUAAAGAGUCAGCAAUAAAGUCAAGAAGAAAAUUACAAGCAAUCAUCAUUCUAAUGUCAAUGUCAUUGGGGAACAUCAGUGCUGCGAUCAAUGUUUCCUUUGUAAAUGACAUUUAAACUCUCACCUGAUCAACGCACCAUCUUCUCAAACAAACAGUCUGAUGUUUAUGUGUUGUGGAAGAAAACACUCUCUGGCUGCUCAUCUCAUGACUCACCACCGUGCGGAGGGGGUUUUCUGAAUCCUCGGGCCGAAAGGUUAAUGGGAAGUUUAAGGAAUUUUUCAAGGGUCUGUUUCAAAGGCUUGAGUGAGGCAGAUUUCCUGGAAAUCCUUCCGUUUAGUUUCCAAAACCAGUACCGCUGCUGUCUGUCUCUUGACAACCGUCCAGAGGACCUCAUUACACCAAUCCACCAUUUUUGUAAAUGUCUUCCGUGGACAGAUUUGCAGUAUAUAUGAACAUAUGAUGUGUAAUUAUAGUUGCAAUAUUCAUAUGUGGCAGCUUUGGGUCUACAGAAUGUUCUAUUGUUUCAGUGUUUUGAGAUCUACAGGAGCAUUUAGACCCGUAAAAUAUGCUGAGACUUGAAAUAAAAUUUGUGAGAGAUUUAGUAACAUCUUCAGAUGGAUCCACGUCUAUUUAAACGUUGUUUCAAGCUGUUAUGCUGGGUUCACACCAAACGUGAACAAUCGCGUUCCACACACUUUGUUACUCGUGGGAAAAGUUCGUUAUUUUCGCGUGAUCGACGCGAUCUGACAAAUAUUUUCAACCUUCGCGGAAGACUAGAUUGACGCGCCAAUCGCGCCACCCGAUUCGCGAGUCUAUACGCAUCUUUGCAUUGACUUUGUAUGUAAUUUACUCACGCAAAACGCUUAAUUCGCGUUUGGUGUGAACCCAGCAUUAGAGCUGUGGCUUAGCUAACUUUUCUGUCCUCUUUCAGCUUUUUCAAUUAACUUUUUGCAUGUAUAAUUUCUUUGGCUAUUUUCAAACUUUUCAAACAAAUCUAUUGAAAUUUUACCCAGACACAAGCCUUACAUCUAUAAAAUAUAAAAAUCCAUCAUAAAUACAUUUUGUGAAAAUAUUUGUUUUUAUAAAACGUAAAAUGCAAAUUUUUAUUUUAAAAAUGUUUAAAAUGUCAUUUCCGCCUCAGUAAGUAAUGUGAUGGGAAUCAUGUUCUUCUAACAAUCUGCCAUAUGACAAAAGGGUCCAAAUCUGCCAGUAGUGGAGGAAACACCCAUAUACAUGAGGAAAUGUUCCUUUUGCCUGAAUUAUGUGGGAGUGAAGCCUCCUCUACAGAGUAAAAGCGGCAAAGUAAUAUAAUCUGUUUUUUUAAGUUUUAAAUCCCAUCCUGAAAUGAUAUGUUGUGGUCCGUAUGAAUCAUACUGUUGUCAGAUGUUGCUGUUGUCGGAUGUAUUUCUAAUGAGUGAUUUAUAGCAUAAUAUAUGAAGACAUUUUUGGUAACGCUUUCACAGGGGGAAUGUCCUCAAUGUUCAAAACAAGUUCCAUCAAUAGUGUUAGUGAUACUCGCCCCUGAGUGUGUAAAAGCAAACAAAUGUUGCGUUUACAAUAAUCCACGUAAUCCAUAAUGAAACUCAAUGAGCAAAGACAUUCUGGAACGUUUUAAAGGAGGAAAAAUUAGUCAUAUUUAUGGUAAAGUGAUGCAUAAAUGAGUCAAAAAUUAUUUUCAUAAUGUGUAUUAUCCAAUUAUUAAUUUAGCAUGGUAAUUUCGUAAUGAUUUUUUAUUUUGUAUUAAUUGAAUAUCAAUUCCCUGUUAUGAAUUAAACCAACCAGCUGUUACGUGUGAAAUCCGGAAUGUAAAUCUUUUAAACACGAGCAUUAAAUUCGGUGUCCAGGGUCGCGGCUCUCAAACGCUGCGCUGCUUCUUGGCCUCGCUUUCAACCCUGUCUCGCUUCCCUCUGCGGUGCUACACCGAGCGCUAAAACGUUUAAUGAGCUCGGAGUGCAGUAAAUAGCAAACAGAUUUAGAAAGUAGUGUGAGAUCACAGACAGUUGAGCUAUGGACACAACAGGCAGGUGUCUCCUAUUUAAAGAUAAUCCUUGACCUGGUCAUACGCCACGCUUGAGUUAGAGCCAGUGUGUGCAGUGAGAGGAGAAGCGGCUUUUAGAUCUCAACAAGUGAAUAGACGAGUGGAAUUUGCUCUUGACAGGUGUUUUUCUCCAUGUAGGUGGGCCUUCGUGACACAGUUGGGAUGGAGGUCGUAUCCUGCCAGUUUCACACUCGCCGAGUGUUUUGAGCAGAGUUUGGUUACAUGAGGAUUUUUUACACGCUCCUGGCCGUCUCCACCGGCUUCGAAACCGUUGCCAAAGUCGGAAGUCCAGGACAAAUUAGUC
Molecule: RNA transcript, 4539 nt
Organism: Triplophysa rosa
Lineage: Eukaryota; Metazoa; Chordata; Actinopteri; Cypriniformes; Nemacheilidae
Gene: st3gal3a
Gene name: ST3 beta-galactoside alpha-2,3-sialyltransferase 3a
Exons: 14
Source: RefSeq, a predicted model, not a curated record